GUGCUGGGCCUGGCUCGCAGCCAACCGAGACGGCCGAGCAGCUGGACGAGGCCGUGAAGUACUACACCCUAGAGGAGAUUCAGAAGCACAACGACAGCAAGAGCACCUGACUGAUUCUGCACCACAAGUGUACUAUUUGACCAAAUUUCUGGAAGAGCAUUCUGGUGGGGAAGAAGUCUUAAGGGAACAAGCUGGAGGUGACGCUACUGAGAAUUUUGAGGAUGUCGGGCAUCUUUGAGAUGCCAUGGAAUUGUCCAAAACAUAUAUCAUUCAGGAGCCCCAUCCAGACGACAGACCAAAGUUAAACAAGCUUCGGAAACUCUUAUCACUGCUGUUGAUUCUAGCUCCAGUUGGUGGACCAACUGAGUGAUCCCUGCCAUGUCAGCAGUGGCCGUCGCCU
This 400-nucleotide long non-coding RNA is filed under the name Homo sapiens (human). Its description in RNAcentral is "non-protein coding lnc-TMEM251-2:1". Lineage: Eukaryota; Metazoa; Chordata; Mammalia; Primates; Hominidae. The record is from RNAcentral.